UACGUAGGUGGCGAGCGUUGUCCGGAUUUACUGGGCGUAAAGAGCCCGCAGGCGGCCUGGCAAGUUUCAGGUGAAAUCUCCCGGCUCAACUGGGAGGGUGCUUGGAAAACUGCCAGGCUUGAGGCAGGGAGAGGGAUGCAGAAUUCCAGGUGUAGCGGUGAAAUGCGUAGAUAUCUGGAGGAAUACCGGUGGCGAAGGCGGCAUCCUGGACCGGCAUUGACGCUGAACAGCGAAAGCUAGGGGAGCAAACGGG
RNAcentral lists this ribosomal RNA (253 nucleotides) under uncultured bacterium. Its description in RNAcentral is "partial 16S ribosomal RNA". It matches the Rfam family "Bacterial small subunit ribosomal RNA", at positions 524 to 776 of the family's 1533-position model. The record is from RNAcentral.